UGCGCCUCCACUCUCCUCACACCAUUCAACCGCGGAGAGAAGAGGCAUCACUGAAGGACUGGAGACCGGCGAAAUCGGACGUCAACCGCCACGCAACCGCACAGAGGCUUAUUUAUCAUGCAUCAAACUUUACUCGAUGUGUACGGUCGCUGCGUCGACGAAAUGACGUCCCGCGUCUCGAAACCCCGGACUUUUUCCCGCUCCUCAUGCGCGGCGAGACGCCGCGCAGCGAGAUAACGCCCCGAAGUUAUCGCAAUGAAUAUUUUGCAAACCCUGGUUUUGAGGCUGACUACAAACACGACAUCACCUCCCGCCGUCAUCCACCAACGCCACCCCCUCCACCGCCACCCAACAAUCGCACCCGUUCCCUGGAGAGGAACCCCAUGCAGAAUGCACGCACAAGAAAUGAAUCGAAGGUCCAGACAUGAAAGAGUCGAGAGACACAGGCACACACACACGCAAACACGGGGUGCUGCGUCUGUCUGCGGUCUUCAACCAGCCUGCCAAAAGAUACACACACACACGCACACACAUUACGGUGCAGCGUGGUGAAUACCAGGUGCAAGAGGAAGGGACAUUCUUCUGCUUGCUCCAACACAUCUGAUGCUACUUGAUGUUUUAUGGUUUAGGUGGUAACCUGUUCUGUAUAUGUUUGAAUAAUGCUGUAGAAAUGCAGGAAUAAAAAAAGAUAGUGCUGUAUCAGGAAGAGAGCGAGAGAGAGGGAGGGAGAGGGGUGGAAAGAUAAAGCGAGGGAGAGAGAGAGAGAAAUAAAGCGAGGGAGAGAGAGAGAGAAAUAAAGCGAGGCAAAGAGAGAGAGAGAGAGACCCCUCAAACGAUGCGUGAGACCGGAGUGAGCCGCCUGGCCGAUGCGUCUCCGAGCAGACAUCUGUCAGCACGGCUCGCCGUCAAGUCUGUGCUCGCCCCAGUAAACAUUCAACGCUGUCGGUGAGUUUGGGAUUAAAUUGGCACAAAACCAUCGACCGUUGAUUGUACCCUGUGGCCAGCCCUUGUCCCUCCAUGCUGUAAAAGGAGAAUGUGUGCUAGAAAUGCCUAUUCACUGGCCGCCCCCCCCCCCCACUCGCACAACCAGCCUCGUGGAGCAGGAAAACCAACAUGGCUGCUGACCGGCUUUGCACAGUCGGAAACACACACACCGUCCUCCCUUUCGACCCGUGCUCCGCUAAGACGUUAAAGAACAAUAUAAAGAAAGGCUAGGUCCAGCCCCCCAAACCACAACAAAGGUCACAAUCAACAUUCAUUGCUGUCGGUGGGUUUGGCUAUGAAGAAAAGCUCACUGAACGAUGAAUGCAACUGUGGCCCCGACCUCCUCGGACCGCCCGUCACUGUGAAUAGUGUCGCCGUAUGCUGAUGAUGUUAUUUAUUUGCAUAUUAAAAAAAA
Molecule: long non-coding RNA, 1399 nt
Organism: Gadus macrocephalus (Pacific cod)
Lineage: Eukaryota; Metazoa; Chordata; Actinopteri; Gadiformes; Gadidae
Exons: 4
Source: RefSeq, a predicted model, not a curated record